AGAGUUUGAUCCUGGCUCAGGAUGAACGCUAGCGGCAGGCCUAAUACAUGCAAGUCGAGGGGUAGAGAAGAGCUUGCUUUUCUUGAGACCGGCGCACGGGUGCGUAACGCGUAUGCAACCUACCUUUAUCAGGGGGAUAGCCCGAAGAAAUUCGGAUUAAUACCGCAUAAAAUCACAGUAUCGCAUGGUACAAUGAUUAA
RNAcentral lists this ribosomal RNA (200 nucleotides) under uncultured bacterium. Its description in RNAcentral is "partial 16S ribosomal RNA". It matches the Rfam family "Bacterial small subunit ribosomal RNA", at positions 8 to 204 of the family's 1533-position model. The record is from RNAcentral.